UUUGGGAGAAUAUUAGAAAUUCUUAGUAUCUCCCUUCACGGACCAGCAAUAAUCGGACAGGAAGUCCGAUUAAGGUGCAACUUGGUCAUGGAUGACCAAUGCACCGGUAGCGUGAUAAGUCAUUACUUUGGCAGAGAUACUUAGAAUUUCUUAUCUCCGUACAUA
Regulatory RNA element from Lachnospiraceae bacterium 10-1, 165 nucleotides. The record is from Rfam. NCBI's taxonomy places the organism in Bacteria, Bacillati, Bacillota, Clostridia, Lachnospirales, Lachnospiraceae.